AAUGAACGUUGGCGGCGUGCUUAACACAUGCAAGUCGAACGGAGAUGUUAGCAAUAACAUCUUAGCGGCGGACGGGUGAGUAACGCGUGGGCAACUUGCCUCUAACUGGGGGAUAACACAGGGAAACUUGUGCUAAUACCGCAUAACAUCACUGGGUGGCAUCAUUCGGUGAUCAAAGGAGUAAUCCGGUGAGAGAUGGGCCCGCGUCCGAUUAGGUAGUUGGUGAGGUAACGGCUCACCAAGCUCCGAGCCGUAGCUGGUCUGAGAGGACGAUCAGCCACACUGGGACUGAGACACGGCCCAGACUCCUACGGGAGGCAGCAGUGGGGAAUCUUGCGCAAUGGGCGAAAGCCUGACGCAGCGACGCCGCGUGAGGGAGGAAGGCCUUCGGGUUGUAAACCUCUUUCAGGAGGGACGAAGCUACUCGGGUGAAUAGCCCAGAGGGUGACGGUACCUCCAGAAGAAGCCCCGGCUAACUACGUGCCAGCCGCCGCGGUAA
RNAcentral lists this ribosomal RNA (499 nucleotides) under uncultured bacterium. RNAcentral describes it as "partial 16S ribosomal RNA". It matches the Rfam family "Bacterial small subunit ribosomal RNA", at positions 29 to 523 of the family's 1533-position model. The record is from RNAcentral.